CCUCGCAGCCUAUGAAAUGUUAGAGACUGACAUACACAGGGACUGCAAUGACCCUGUGAACCGACCACGUCACAAGGAAGUGCUGAAGGGGGAUGAGGCAGCUUGGAGAAAGAGUCACCGCCCUGCUUCGUCCCUGAUCCAGACAUGAGCUUCAUUCUCCUGUGCUGUGUGACCUUUUUUUUCUGGGGAGCAGGGUCCAUGGACACCGAGGUCAUCCAGAGUCCAAGUCAUCUGGUCAAAGGAAAAGACCAGAAAGCAAAGAUGGAUUGUGUCCCCAUAAAAGGACAUAUUAAUGUUUACUGGUAUCGCAAGAAGCUGGAAGAACCAUUCGAGUUCUUGGUUUACUUACAGAAUCAAGACACUGUGGAAGAUACAGAAGUGUUCAAACAGCGAUUUUCGGCUGAGUGCCCACAAAACUCAGCCUGCAGCCUGGAAAUCAACUCCACCGAGGCAGCGGACUCAGCUCUGUAUUUCUGUGCCAGCAGCCAGUCCACAGUGCAGCAUGUCAGCUCUUCCUAGAACACAAACUCACCAUGAACCCAGCUCAGGAAAUCAGUGGUGUCGUAGGAGGGUAGGAACUAACAAAAACCGGCUUUGAGAGAGCAUAAACCAGAUGGAAAAAUCUGUAAAUGGCCACACAGGAUGAGCAGAAGGGGAGGUGGAAAA
Cervus elaphus (red deer) is the source of this 666-nucleotide non-coding RNA. NCBI's taxonomy places the organism in Eukaryota, Metazoa, Chordata, Mammalia, Artiodactyla, Cervidae. The record is from the annotation of a RefSeq genome assembly.